This 1526-nucleotide long non-coding RNA is filed under the name Prunus dulcis (almond). RNAcentral's name for it is "sRNA ncRNA". The record is from RNAcentral. Lineage: Eukaryota; Viridiplantae; Streptophyta; Magnoliopsida; Rosales; Rosaceae.
AUGGCCAUAUGGUGGAAAGUUAGUGACCGAAGCACUAUCUCUUUUGGAGAAAUACCGGACGGUGACGAUAUUCCUCGCUUUAAAAGAUCGAAAAGAUCAUCAUCAUCACCAAAGCUGAAGAAUAUCAAUAUUGAUGAUCUCCCAGACCUUGUGUUGGUUGAUAUUUUAUGUCGCCUUCCUCAUAAUAAAUUUGCUUUUCGAUGCAAGUGUGUGUCCAAGCGCUGGUGCGCUAUCAUCUCCGAUUCUCUCUUUAUUCGCCACUUUAAAGUGAGAAGUAUAUGCCAAUCGUACGUACCCUGAUAAACUACAACAUUAAGAUGGGGUUGAAGGAGCGGUCCAAGUUUACUGAUCCAGUGGCGGAGAGAUCACUCCAGUCUUUGAGGAGUUUCCUCCCUACCUUGUCCUCCAAGUUAACUGAUUUGGUUAUUGACAGACCAUCCGAGGAUAAACUACCAGUCUUUGGCCACGAAGAUCUAAAAGCAGUUGUAUUAGAGACGUAUAAUGACUUAGUUUUGUGUUGUGCAUGCAAGUAUUAUCAACGCGAUUACUGCAUUUGCAAUCUCUACACCCAGAAAUGGGUGGCUCAUCCUCCCUCGCCUCAAUGCCACAAAAGAGUAGUGGCACUAGGGUUCAUCUGUGAUCCUCCCUACUAUAGCUACUAUGGGGAAGAAGCUGAGUUUCAUAGAAAAGAAGCAACCCAGCAGCGUAAUGCUGCCGAGUAUAUAUAUAGACAUAGGGUUGUAAGAAUUCCUGAAUUUUCACAUUGUCAGGACCAUACCUUCAAAUACUACGUGGAGAUCUUCUCUUCCGAGACUGGUGAAUGGAGAGUGUCGUAUGUUUCAUUCCCCAAAAAAUUUGCAUUCCAUAGAGUCAAUCCCAGUACUGGCUUUGCGUACAAGGGAAUGUUGUUUUGGUUGGGCCGUCAUAGAAACAAAGGUGGUCUUGCCUUUCUUAUUGGGUUCGAUCCGUUCGACACGAAGAAUAAUAAUCACGAAACAAUUGAUAAGAAAUGUUUCAUUGAAUUUGAUGAGCAGCCGGCAAUUGAGGGCCUAGAUGGAGAUGUGUCGGAAAUUGAGUGCCUAGGUGUGUGCCAAGGCUGUCUGCGGAUGUUCAACUUCGAAUUGAGGACAGGUUCUCUGUUAGUUUGGGAUUUCAAAUUACCAGAACCAGCUGAUGAUCAGAUGCUCAAUGGAGGCAGCAACUGUUUGAUUUUGAAACACAGGGUUCCCAUGGAUCCAAGAGAUAAAUUAUACAUGGACCGGAUUAAGCUGUGUGUUUUGGACCCAAAUAAUAAGGAUAUUUUGUAUUUCUAUCGAAGUACACAUAUAUUUGUCAUGUGCAACAUCCGUACAAAAACGUGGUCAGAGAUAGCAAAAGAAACUUGGGAACGAAGUGAUGCUCCCUUGUUACCAUUGAUUUUGCACCCUCCGUGGCCAACCCCAGUUCCUACACACUUCCCCGUGAGAAGAGUGCCACAACGAGUUGGAACUUGUUCAACAAGACAUGGUCAAUGUAAAUGUAAUUGA